UGGGGAAUCUUGCACAAUGGAGGAAACUCUGAUGCAGCGACGCCGCGUGAGCGAAGAAGCCUUUCGGGGUGUAAAGCUCUUACGCCAGGGACGAUAAUGACGGUACCUGGAGAAGCAGCUGCGGCUAACUACGUGCCAGCAGCCGCGGUAAUACGUAGGCAGCAAGCGUUGUUCGGAAUUACUGGGCGUAAAGGGUGCGUAGGCGGCGCUCUAAGUUUGGUGUGAAAUCUCCCGGCUUAACUGGGAGGGUGCACUGAAAACUGGGGCGCUCGAGUAUGGGAGAGGAAAGCGGAAUUCCUGGUGUAGCGGUGAAAUGCGUAGAGAUCAGGAGGAACACCUGCGGUGCAGACGGCUGUCUGGACCAUCACUGACGCUGAGGCACGAAAGCGUGGGGAGCAAACA
Molecule: ribosomal RNA, 402 nt
Filed under: uncultured bacterium
Lineage: Bacteria
Description: bacterial SSU rRNA
Rfam family: Bacterial small subunit ribosomal RNA
Source: RNAcentral